This 952-nucleotide ribosomal RNA is filed under the name uncultured bacterium. RNAcentral's name for it is "bacterial SSU rRNA". It matches the Rfam family "Bacterial small subunit ribosomal RNA", at positions 102 to 1046 of the family's 1533-position model. The record is from RNAcentral.
ACGGGUGAGUAACACAUCGUGAACGUACCCUAUCGUGGGGGAUAACGAAUCGAAAGAUUCGCUAAUACCGCAUACGACCUGAGGGUGAAAGCGGGGGAUCGCAAGACCUCGCGCGAUUGGAGCGGCCGAUGUCGGAUUAGCUAGUUGGUAGGGUAAAGGCCUACCAAGGCGACGAUCCGUAGCUGGUCUGAGAGGACGACCAGCCACACUGGGACUGAGACACGGCCCAGACUCCUACGGGAGGCAGCAGUGGGGAAUUUUGGACAAUGGGGGAAACCCUGAUCCAGCCAUUCCGCGUGAGUGAAGAAGGCCUUCGGGUUGUAAAGCUCUUUCGGCAGGAACGAAACGGUGGGAGCUAAUAUCUUCCACUAAUGACGGUACCUGAAGAAGAAGCACCGGCUAACUACGUGCCAGCAGCCGCGGUAAUACGUAGGGUGCGAGCGUUAAUCGGAAUUACUGGGCGUAAAGCGUGCGCAGGCGGCUUUGUAAGACAGGUGUGAAAUCCCCGGGCUUAACCUGGGAACUGCGCUUGUGACUGCAAGGCUCGAGUGUGGCAGAGGGGGGUGGAAUUCCACGUGUAGCAGUGAAAUGCGUAGAGAUGUGGAGGAACACCGAUGGCGAAGGCAGCCCCCUGGGUCAACACUGACGCUCAUGCACGAAAGCGUGGGUAGCAAACAGGAUUAGAUACCCUGGUAGUCCACGCCCUAAACGAUGCCAACUAGGUGUUGGGGAAGGAGACUUCCUUAGUACCGUAGCUAACGCGUGAAGUUGGCCGCCUGGGGAGUACGGUCGCAAGAUUAAAACUCAAAGGAAUUGACGGGGACCCGCACAAGCGGUGGAUGAUGUGGAUUAAUUCGAUGCAACGCGAAAAACCUUACCUACCCUUGACAUGUCAGGAAUCCCGGAGAGAUUUGGGAGUGCUCGAAAGAGAGCCUGAACACAGGUGCUGCAU